UUUUUGUCAGAAAUUUCAAGAUGACAUCAGCACAAUCAAAUGGGACUGAAGGUAAAAGGCAUUUUCUAUACCCCUACUUUCAGAUGUGGAAGAUGGAAUGAUACAUACACAACUCUGAAGAACACUGUACUAAGCUGCUGGGCAAAGAAGCAUGCUGCUACAGCAAUUGGGAUUCAACAUUCUUACCAACUUGGAUGUAAAAAUGAGCUGGGUGAGAAAUCUAAUCCAAGAGGAAUAUAACCACAGAAUGGACUUUUCAGACUAAGCUUGUUAAAAAAUUUUGGAAUUAUUCUAAUCUUUGAGCUUUACAAUGGUAUCUUAAGCAAGCUUGUGAUCAGUUUUUGGUAAAUAUUUGUAUUUCAGACAAAUUUCUUUCUUCCGAUCCAAUGAGAUAAUAUUUUAAGGAUUGAGAGAGAACUAUGAAUAAAUAAAUGUCUUUUUACUUCAUUGCCCCAUUAACUUUAGAAAGCAAAAUGUUUUCUGCAAAUGAGUCUAGAAAGUAAUCCAGUAUUUGUGGAUUUUGGGUUCAGAUUUUGUUGGGGUUGAGGUUAGGAUUUUCUGCUAUUGUUGUCUUGGAGGAUUUCUAUUGUGGGUUUGGAGAGAGGCUACCAUGGGGAUAGACUCUACCAAGCUAAAGGAACUGUCCAUCACCUCCAAAACUUUGAAAAGUUUUUGUUCCUGAAGGCACAUGGCUGAAUUGCAAAAUGAAAGAGUAAUUUGUUUACCUCUUUCAAGAUUUUGAAAAUAUUUCCCUAACAUUUAGGAUCCAGUCCAGAAAUAUGGAUUUACCUUAUCAGAAAAUUUCAAGAGGAUUCAAUGAAACAUUUUUUGUUAUAUUUUAAAUUAGAUUUUACAAUGGACCUUUUUUAUUUUAUUUUAAUUUGAGUUAGCAUUCUCAUCUUUCUAAUCAAUAUCCUUAUUUUAUGAAAAUUGAAUGUUCACUAUAUCCCAUGCACUAAAUAAAAUAGUGCAAUGGUUUAAUUUUGCAGAGUGCCCUCUAUUUGCUAGCCAGUAGGCAGUAGAUGUGAACCAAAAUAAUAAAGAGGAUUCAAGAAAUUCUCAUAUCAUGAUAUCUUACACUUUGGGCAUUUCAGCCUAAGAAAGCAUUGUUGUAAAAUGUGUUUUCCUGGCUUUUUGGAUUUUAAAUAGAAUAGAAAUGAAACUUCAGGAUUUCUCUAAGACUGCUUUAAACUCCAGUCAAUCCAUGUUCAGAUUUUUUUUUAUUCUUAUAUCUUAAUGUGUGCCCAUGAAUUUUGGGGCAUACAUCAGGUUGCUAAAGUGGUCUUUUCCAAACCAGAAAUAAGGCUUUGCUACAAUUUUUAAUUAGGAUGGUAUUUGAAAUAUCAGCUACUUUGCAAAGUUUUCUACAUGCUUCUGUCCUAUACAAGUGGAGCAACUAAAUGACGAGAAUUAGGAGAAGAAAACUUUUCUCAUAUGAUCAGCAAGAGAACAAUAUGCUAAUAUUAAAAAAGGAAUCGGGAUUUUUUUUUGUUUUAAUCCUGAGAGCAUUACUUGUGGGUUUUCUUCUCAAGCACUUUACCAUCAAUUUUUUGCCCCUUUGAAUUAUUAAUACAGGAACAGUGCUGGGCUCAUCGGUGACUUCUGAAUUCCCGUUAGCAAGUCACAAUUUGAUGUGACACUGAAGAGUGAAAGCAGUCUCUAUUAACAAUGUACUCUAACCUAAAAUAGACACACAUUAAUAUCUGUAUUUUGGCCUGCUCCCUCUAACUCUUGGAUUUUGCUUAUUUCAUUUUUUGUUAAAAGCUUUUCUCUGGUCAUGAUGCUUUUUUUUUUUAAUAAAGUAGCUUUACAUUGUUCAUUUCA
Molecule: long non-coding RNA, 1824 nt
Organism: Ornithorhynchus anatinus (platypus)
Lineage: Eukaryota; Metazoa; Chordata; Mammalia; Monotremata; Ornithorhynchidae
Exons: 3
Source: RefSeq, a predicted model, not a curated record